CCUACGGGAGGCAGCAGUUAGGAAUCUUCGGCAAUGGGCGCAAGCCUGACCGAGCGACAAUGCGUGGAGGAUGAAGGUUUUCGGAUUGUAAACUCCUGAACUUGGGACGAUAAUGACGGUAGCAGCCUAAUAGCACCGGCUAACUCCGUGCCAGCAGCCGCGGUAAUACGGAGGGUGCGAGCGUUAUCCGGAAUCACUGGGCGUAAAGGGCGGGUAGGCGGUUUGCUAAGUCCGAUGUUAAAGCGUGGGGCUCAACCCCAUCCCGGCGUUGGAUACUGUCAAGCUUGACGGCUGGAGAGGAAGGUAGAAUUACCAGUGUAGCGGUGGAAUGCGUAGAUACUGGUAGGAAUACCCAUAGCGAAGGCAGCCUUCUGGACAGUUAGUGACGGUGAGGCGCGAAAGUGUGGGGAGCAAACCGGAUUAGAUACCCGGGUAGUCCACACCCUAAACGAUGCAUACUUGGUGUUGGCCCGUUGGGGUCAGCGCCGCGAGCUAACGCGUUAAGUAUGCCGCCUGGGAGACGUCCACGGUGC
Molecule: ribosomal RNA, 533 nt
Filed under: uncultured Deinococcus sp.
Lineage: Bacteria; Thermotogati; Deinococcota; Deinococci; Deinococcales; Deinococcaceae
Description: bacterial SSU rRNA
Rfam family: Bacterial small subunit ribosomal RNA
Source: RNAcentral